RNAcentral lists this ribosomal RNA (1190 nucleotides) under uncultured bacterium. RNAcentral's name for it is "bacterial SSU rRNA". It matches the Rfam family "Bacterial small subunit ribosomal RNA". The record is from RNAcentral.
AGAGUUUGAUCAUGGCUCAGAUUGAACGCUGGCGGCAGGCCUAACACAUGCAAGUCGAACGGUAACAUUUCUAGCUUGCUAGAAGAUGACGAGUGGCGGACGGGUGAGUAAUGCUUGGGAACUUGCCUUUGUGAGGGGGAUAACAGUUGGAAACGACUGCUAAUACCGCAUAAUGUCUACGGACCAAACGGGGCUUCGGCUCCGGCGCAAAGAGAGGCCCAAGUGAGAUUAGCUAGUUGGUAAGGUAACGGCUUACCAAGGCGACGAUCUCUAGCUGUUCUGAGAGGAAGAUCAGCCACACUGGGACUGAGACACGGCCCAGACUCCUACGGGAGGCAGCAGUGGGGAAUAUUGCACAAUGGGGGAAACCCUGAUGCAGCCAUGCCGCGUGUGUGAAGAAGGCCUUCGGGUUGUAAAGCACUUUCAGUUGUGAGGAAAAGUUAGUAGUUAAUACCUGCUAGCCGUGACGUUAACAAGUGCGUAGAAGAAGCUAACGCGCUAACUCCGUGCCAGACAGCCUGCGGUAAUACGGAGGGCGCAAGCGUUAAAACUCAAAUGAAUUGACGGGGGCCCGCACAAGCGCUGGACGCAGGCGGUUUAAUUAGAUGCUAGACGCGAAGAACCCUACGGGCUACAACCUGACAUGGUCAUUGAGAACUGGCUAGACAUAGAUUGGUGCCUUCGGAGAGGGGACUCUGAAUUCACAGGUGCUAGCAUGGCUGAAAUGCGUCAGAUAGUGUCGUGAGAUGUUGAACAUAAGUCCCGCAACGAGCGCAAUCCCUGGUCCAAAGACUGACAGCCUCAAGUUGCGCACUCUAAGGAGACUGCCGGUAGACAAACCGGAGGAUUAGAUGGGGACGACUGGUCAAGUCCAUCAUGGCCCUAAACGCUGUAGGGCUACUAGCACGUGCUACAAUGGCAUUUACAGAGGGAAGCGAGACAGUGAUGUGGAGCGGACCCCUUAAAGAAUGUCGUAGUCCGGAUUGGAGUCUGCAACUCGACUCCAUGAAGUCGGAAUCGCUAGUAAUCGCAGGUCAGAAUACUGCGGUGAAUACGUUCCCGGGCCUUGUACACACCGCCCGUCACACCAUGGGAGUGGGAUGCAAAAGAAGUAGUUAGUCUAACCUUCGGGAGGACGAUUACCACUUUGUGUUUCAUGACUGGGGUGAAGUCGUAACAAGGUAGCCGUA